GAGUGUACGGAAUAUCUCUCUCUCUCUCUCUCUCUCUCUCUCUCUCUCUCGGUGGGAGGUCCUUCGGAGGACUAUUUAAACAUGGCCGGACACUUCCUUUGACAUCAGUCUUGUCCAAGACACCAAACUGAGAAGAUGCAGUCUGUCACCCUCAUUUUCGCCGUCCUCCUCAUCGUUGGAGUUAUAGUGUCUGUGGAACCACAGUUCUACAGACUUCCUUUCUACGCUUCCAGAAGUGUCUUUCCCAAGAGGGACUUCUUGUCUCUACUUCUCCCUCACGAGGAAGACCGGUAUUGGCACGGAUAUGACAUGUAUGGCUAUUCCAGAACCGGUUGAAGGAUCCUCGGGAAACAGCUAGUUUGACGGUUAUGAUCCCAUCAUUACAAGAACAACAGAUCCUCCAACUUGACUCUGUAUUCACCAAUAAGCUUCGGACUGGAAAAUUCUAUGUAUAUACAACUUCACAUACAUUUGUGCUCCGCAAAACCUUUCAACAUGUUAUAUCAGUGACAGUUACAAAAUAACACAAUAACGUCCAUUAUAUCACUCUUACAACUAACAAUAAGAUGUUCCUAUUUAUUGACGUGGGUUUUUUUAUUCAGUUCUAAGAUGAACACAAUGUAUAGAAUGCAAUGAUUGUAAUAAAAUUACUUUCUACGUG
Molecule: long non-coding RNA, 661 nt
Organism: Macrobrachium nipponense
Lineage: Eukaryota; Metazoa; Arthropoda; Malacostraca; Decapoda; Palaemonidae
Exons: 5
Source: RefSeq, a predicted model, not a curated record